Molecule: ribosomal RNA, 254 nt
Filed under: uncultured bacterium
Lineage: Bacteria
Description: partial 16S ribosomal RNA
Rfam family: Bacterial small subunit ribosomal RNA
Source: RNAcentral
UACAGAGGGUGCGAGCGUUGUCCGGAAUUAUUGGGCGUAAAGAGCUCGUAGGCGGUGUGUCGCGUCGGCCGUGAAAACCUGCAGCUUAACUGUGGGCUUGCGGUCGAUACGGGCAUCACUGGAGUUCGGCAGGGGAGACUGGAAUUCCUGGUGUAGCGGUGAAAUGCGCAGAUAUCAGGAGGAACACCGGUGGCGAAGGCGGGUCUCUGGGCCGAUACUGACGCUGAGGAGCGAAAGCGUGGGGAGCGAACAGG